Molecule: ribosomal RNA, 451 nt
Filed under: uncultured bacterium
Lineage: Bacteria
Description: SSU rRNA
Rfam family: Bacterial small subunit ribosomal RNA
Source: RNAcentral
AGAGCGAACGCUGGCGGCAGGCUUAACACAUGCAAGUCGAGCGGGCGUAGCAAUACGUCAGCGGCAGACGGGUGAGUAACGCGUGGGAACGUACCUUUUGGUUCGGAACAACCCAGGGAAACUUGGGCUAAUACCGGAUAAGCCCUUACGGGGAAAGAUUUAUCGCCGAAAGAUCGGCCCGCGUCUGAUUAGCUAGUUGGUGGGGUAAUGGCCCACCAAGGCGACGAUCAGUAGCUGGUCUGAGAGGAUGAUCAGCCACAUUGGGACUGAGACACGGCCCAAACUCCUACGGGAGGCAGCAGUGGGGAAUAUUGGACAAUGGGCGCAAGCCUGAUCCAGCCAUGCCGCGUGAGUGAUGAAGGCCCUAGGGUUGUAAAGCUUCUUUGUGCGGGAAGAUAAUGACGGUACCGCGAAGAAUAAGCCCCGGACUAACGUUCGCGCCAGCAGCCGC